This 446-nucleotide ribosomal RNA is filed under the name uncultured bacterium. RNAcentral's name for it is "partial 16S ribosomal RNA". It matches the Rfam family "Bacterial small subunit ribosomal RNA", at positions 354 to 796 of the family's 1533-position model. The record is from RNAcentral.
GUAGGGAAUAUUGGACAAUGGGGGGAACCCUGAUCCAGCCAUGCCGCGUGGAGGAAGACUGCCCUCUGGGUUGUAAACUCCUUUUAUAUGGGAAGAACCGUCCUCAUUAAUGAGUGACCUGACGGUACCAUAGGAAUAAGCACCGGCUAACUCCGUGCCAGCAGCCGCGGUAAUACGGAGGGUGCAAGCGUUAUCCGGAUUCACUGGGUUUAAAGGGUGCGUAGGCGGAUAAAUAAGUCAGUGGUGAAAUCAACGGGCUCAACCUGUUAACUGCCAUUGAUACUGUGUAUCUUGAAUAGGAGAGAGGUAGGCGGAAUGUUGCAUGUAGCGGUGAAAUGCUUAGAUAUGCUACGGAACACCGAUUGCGAAGGCAGCUUACUAUUUCGUAAUUGACGCUGAGGCACGAAAGCGUGGGUAGCGAACAGGAUUAGAAACCCGGGUAGUCC